UAACUAAUGGAGCUAGAACUGAUGUUUUGUCUCAAGAUGGUGAAACUCUACUGCAUUAUGCUGGUAAAUCUGGUCAAGUUGAAAUGCUUGAGUUUUGGAUUAGGAGAGAGGAUCAUGAUGUGAAUGCUUUUGAUAAAAACAACAGAACUCCAUUGUUUGAUGCUGUUGAGAGUGAUAGUGUUGAAGCUGUUGAUAUUCUAUUAUUUCAUGGAGCUAGAACUAAUGUUGCA
Amphimedon queenslandica is the source of this 230-nucleotide long non-coding RNA. RefSeq lists it as uncharacterized. The transcript has 3 exons. NCBI's taxonomy places the organism in Eukaryota, Metazoa, Porifera, Demospongiae, Haplosclerida, Niphatidae. The record is from RefSeq and is a predicted model, not a curated record.